This 71-nucleotide transfer RNA is filed under the name Rasbora caudimaculata (greater scissortail). RNAcentral describes it as "tRNA-Gln". It matches the Rfam family "tRNA". Rfam says of the family: Transfer RNA (tRNA) molecules are approximately 80 nucleotides in length. Their secondary structure includes four short double-helical elements and three loops (D, anti-codon, and T loops). The record is from RNAcentral. Lineage: Eukaryota; Metazoa; Chordata; Actinopteri; Cypriniformes; Danionidae.
UAGAAGGUGGUGUAGAGGGAGCACUAAGAGUUUUGAUCUCUUUGGCAUAGGUUCGAUUCCUUUCUUUCUAA